This 305-nucleotide ribosomal RNA is filed under the name uncultured bacterium. RNAcentral's name for it is "bacterial SSU rRNA". It matches the Rfam family "Bacterial small subunit ribosomal RNA", at positions 333 to 636 of the family's 1533-position model. The record is from RNAcentral.
CGAGGCCUACGGGAGGCAGCAGUGAGGAAUAUUGGUCAAUGGGCGGUAGCCUGAACCAGCCAAGUAGCGUGAAGGAUGAAGGUUCUAUGGAUUGUAAACUUAUUUUAUAAAGGAAUAAAGUGAGGCACGUGUGCCUUUUUGUAUGUACUUUAUGAAUAAGGAUCGGCUAACUCCGUGCCAGCAGCCGCGGUAAUACGGAGGAUCCGAGCGUUAUCCGGAUUUAUUGGGUUUAAAGGGUGCGCAGGCGGACACUCAAGUCAGCGGUAAAAUCGUGGGGCCCAACCCCAUCCCGCCGUUGCAACUGG